AAGAAAUUAGUUUAAACAAAACAUUAAUUUGUCAAAUUAAAAAAAUUAAAAUUUAAUAUUUCUUA
This 65-nucleotide transfer RNA is filed under the name Onomaus tenuis. RNAcentral's name for it is "tRNA-Asp". Lineage: Eukaryota; Metazoa; Arthropoda; Insecta; Hemiptera; Miridae. The record is from RNAcentral.